This 781-nucleotide non-coding RNA is filed under the name Chrysodeixis acuta. The record is from RNAcentral. Lineage: Eukaryota; Metazoa; Arthropoda; Insecta; Lepidoptera; Noctuidae.
AAUAAAUUUUUUAUGGUUUAAAAAUUUUAUUGAUAAUUUAUUUUACAUAUAAAUUUUAGUGUUAUAUUUAAUUUAUUUUAAUAAUAAAUUAUUUAUUUUUGUAGUAAUUAAUAUUAAAUAAUUUAAGAAAUUAAGAUUUAGUAAUAUUAAAAUUAAUAACAAAUUUUGUGCCAGCAGUUGCGGUUACACAAAGAUUAAAUUAAAUUUUAUUAGUGAUUAAUAAAUAAAUUGAUAAAUAAUAAAAAUUUUAAAUUAUUAGGUGAAAUUUUAAUUUAAUAAAAUAUUAUAGUAUUAAUUAUGACUUAAUAAAUUUUAUAAAAAACUAGGAUUAGAUACCCUAUUAUUAAAAUUUAAAAUUAAAUUACUAAAAUAGUAAAUAAUUAUUUAUUGAAACUUAAAUAAUUUGGCGGUAUUUUAGUUCAUUUAGAGGAAUCUGUUUAAUAAUUGAUAAUCCACGAAUAAAUUUACUUAAUUUAUAAUUUUGUAUAUCGUUGUUAAAAAAAUAUUUUUUAAUAAAAAUAAUAUUUAAAAAUUUUUAUAAUAAAUUAAAUCAGAUCAAGAUGCAGAUUAUAAUUAAGAAUAUAAUGGAUUACAAUAAAUUUAUUUAAAUGAAUAUUAAUUUGUAAAAAUUAAUUGAAAGUGGAUUUAAGUGUAAUUUUAUUUAGUUUAAUAAAAUGAUUAUAAAUUAAAAUAUGUACAUAUUGCCCGUCGCUUUCAUAUAUUAAUAAGUUGAAAUAAGUCGUAACAAAGUAGAGGUACUGGAAAGUGUUUCUAGAAAGAU